RNAcentral lists this ribosomal RNA (492 nucleotides) under uncultured bacterium. Its description in RNAcentral is "partial 16S ribosomal RNA". It matches the Rfam family "Bacterial small subunit ribosomal RNA", at positions 29 to 507 of the family's 1533-position model. The record is from RNAcentral.
AGUGAACGCUGGCGGUAGGCCUAACACAUGCAAGUCGAACGGCAGCACAGUAAGAGCUUGCUCUUACGGGUGGCGAGUGGCGGACGGGUGAGGAAUACAUCGGAAUCUACUUUUUCGUGGGGGAUAACGUAGGGAAACUUACGCUAAUACCGCAUACGACCUACGGGUGAAAGCAGGGGAUCUUCGGACUUUGCGCGAUUGAAUGAGCCGAUGUCGGAUUAGCUAGUUGGCGGGGUAAAGGCCCACCAAGGCGACGAUCCGUAGCUGGUCUGAGAGGAUGAUCAGCCACACUGGAACUGAGACACGGUCCAGACUCCUACGGGAGGCAGCAGUGGGGAAUAUUGGACAAUGGGCGCAAGCCUGAUCCAGCCAUGCCGCGUGGGUGAAGAAGGCCUUCGGGUUGUAAAGCCCUUUUGUUGGGAAAGAAAAGCAGCAGGUUAAUACCCCGCUGUUAUGACGGUACCCAAAGAAUAAGCACCGGCUAACUUCGUG